AACGAACGCUGGCGGCAGGCUUAACACAUGCAAGUCGAACGCCUGGAGCAAUCCAGGAGUGGCAGACGGGUGAGUAACACGUGGGAACAUACCCUUUGGUACGGAACAACUCGGGGAAACUCGAGCUAAUACCGUAUACGGCCGAGAGGCGAAAGAUUGAUCGCCGAAGGAUUGGCCCGCGUCCGAUUAGCUAGUUGGUGAGGUAAUGGCUCACCAAGGCGACGAUCGGUAGCUGGCUGAGAGGAUGGCCAGCCACAUUGGGACUGAGACACGGCCCAAACUCCUACGGGAGGCAGCAGUGGGGAAUAUUGGGACAAUGGGCGCAAGCCUGAUCCAGCCAUGCCGCGUGAGUGAUGAAGGCCUUAGGUUGUAAAGCUCUUUCGUCAGGGACGAUAAUGACGGUACCUGAAGAAGAAGCCCCGGCUAACUUCGUGCCAGCAG
This 441-nucleotide ribosomal RNA is filed under the name uncultured bacterium. RNAcentral's name for it is "bacterial SSU rRNA". It matches the Rfam family "Bacterial small subunit ribosomal RNA", at positions 29 to 514 of the family's 1533-position model. The record is from RNAcentral.